AGCCAGACUCCUACGGGAGGCAGCAGUGGGGAAUAUUGCACAAUGGGGGAAACCCUGAUGCAGCGACGCCGCGUGAGUGAAGAAGUAUUUCGGUAUGUAAAGCUCUAUCAGCAGGGAAGAAAAUGACGGUACCUGACUAAGAAGCCCCGGCUAACUACGUGCCAGCAGCCGCGGUAAUACGUAGGGGGCAAGCGUUAUCCGGAUUUACUGGGUGUAAAGGGAGCGUAGACGGCAGCGCAAGUCUGAAGUGAAAUCCCAAGGCUUAACCAUGGAACUGCUUUGGAAACUGUGCAGCUGGAGUGCAGGAGAGGUAAGCGGAAUUCCUAGUGUAGCGGUGAAAUGCGUAGAUAUUAGGAGGAACACCAGUGGCGAAGGCGGCUUACUGGACUGUAACUGACGUUGAGGCUCGAAAGCGUGGGGAGCAAACAGGAUUAGAUACCCCAGUA
This 446-nucleotide ribosomal RNA is filed under the name uncultured bacterium. RNAcentral's name for it is "bacterial SSU rRNA". It matches the Rfam family "Bacterial small subunit ribosomal RNA", at positions 329 to 792 of the family's 1533-position model. The record is from RNAcentral.